CUACUAAUCCUAAUCCUAAUUCCACUUCCUCUAAUUCAUACUUUGUUGAUGACAAUUUUGAUUUUGAAUUUUUGGAUGAUAAGUUGCUUCAAGAACUCCUUCAAGAUGGAAGCACCAAUAGUCAGUAAAUGAGAGCUAGCUACUGUUGAAGAGUAUGAAAUGUGUUGUAAUAAUUUUAUUUGUUUCAUUAAAUGAUUUUGUUUGGUUAUGUAACUCAUUCUUAUUCUUAUUAAUGAGAUUGGGAUAUUGGACAUUUAUAAUUGUUAUAAGAAUUUAGUGUUAGAUAAUAAAAUAGAUGGAUUAUUUUUACGUGUUUUUUUAAAUAUAUUUAUGCGACUUACAAUUUUGAUUUGUUAUUUUCAUUAAUUCAUUAAAUUAAUAUUUUAUUUUAAAAUUUAAUAGUUUUUGUAUUUUCUUUACGUAUUAUAACUUCUUUUUUUGAAAGAAAAAGUUCAUUAAAUAGAAUAUAAUAGGUACUCCUAACAUGGUUUUUUUUUUUAUAAAAAUAAAAAAAGAACUAAAUCUAACAUUAUAGAGGAUAACAAGUAUGCACCUUCUAACUUGCUUAAAUCGUUUGCCUUUCAACAACUCCCCACUAAAUUCUAGCAGCUUCGAUGUGGUUUACCUCUACAACUCCCAACCACCUUAUAGGAAAAAGGACAAGAGAAAUAAGCAUGUUUGCAUCAUUCAUGCCAACCAAAUCAUGGGUUGAAUCUAACACGCCCCGUUUCCAUAACUCAUCCCUUGUUGAGAGCCUUCCUUUGUAGAACCUCCACAACAUCACUUGGACUUUUAAGGGAAUAUCACACCUCCAAACCUUAUUCAUUAUUUUUUUUAAAGGGUAUGAUUGACGAUUGAUCACAAGCUCAAGCAAAUAAUUACAACAAGAUAUCACUCUAAAACCCUUAAAUAAAG
Molecule: long non-coding RNA, 915 nt
Filed under: Cicer arietinum (chickpea)
Lineage: Eukaryota; Viridiplantae; Streptophyta; Magnoliopsida; Fabales; Fabaceae
Description: long non-coding RNA (CARI_LNC000924)
Source: RNAcentral